GGCGUUAUGGUGUAACUGGUUAACACGCUGCCCUCUCAAGGCAGAGAGUCCGGGUUCGAGCCCCGGUAACGCUACCA
This 77-nucleotide transfer RNA is filed under the name Acidobacteriaceae bacterium. RNAcentral's name for it is "tRNA-Glu". It matches the Rfam family "tRNA". From Rfam's summary of the family: Transfer RNA (tRNA) molecules are approximately 80 nucleotides in length. Lineage: Bacteria; Pseudomonadati; Acidobacteriota; Terriglobia; Terriglobales; Acidobacteriaceae. The record is from RNAcentral.